UUACAAAGGGAGGGAUUUACUGAGCUAAGCAACACUUGGUUGGGGGACAUCGCAAUACCACCAUGUGCAAAAGGUGUCAACGUGAAGAAAUACAAGACUAUAUGUUAAAAAAGGUUGCAGCAAAGGACUUUGAUAAAACUUCUUUUCCUGAUUUUGAAGAUGUUGAGAGGAUGGGUGAUGAUGAAAACAAAGAUGAAAUUGGUGCAAACAUAGAAGUCCCACAGCAAAGAAGUAAUAAAGUUGCAAAUAUGAGAAAGAAGCCAAGGACAAAGGGUCCUAUUGAUGUAUUUUUUGCUCAAAAUGCAGAAAGGGCAGUGAAAGAUAGGAAGAAUGCAAAGUUGAAGCAAACCACCGUAAAUAAGGCAUGUAAAAAGGAAUUGCGAAUAAAAGCAUGUAAGGAUAUAGCUCGGUGAACAUAUGAUGCUGCAAUUCCUUUUAAUGCCAUCAAUUAUCCAAGUUUUCAAGUUAGGGUAGAGUCUAUUGAACAAUUUGGGAUUGGCUAUGAAAAGUGUUUUCAUGAGGUGAAGGUACCUUUAUUGAAUGAAGAAGUUGCUGAAGUGAAGGAUUCAUUAAAGUUCUAUGAAGAAGAAAGGGCAAAGUAUGGUUGUUCCAUAAUGGGAAAUGGUUGGACUGAUAAAAAAC
RNAcentral lists this unclassified non-coding RNA (642 nucleotides) under Hevea brasiliensis (rubber tree). The record is from RNAcentral. Lineage: Eukaryota; Viridiplantae; Streptophyta; Magnoliopsida; Malpighiales; Euphorbiaceae.